Molecule: ribosomal RNA, 2896 nt
Filed under: Selaginella bryopteris
Lineage: Eukaryota; Viridiplantae; Streptophyta; Lycopodiopsida; Selaginellales; Selaginellaceae
Description: bacterial LSU rRNA
Rfam family: Bacterial large subunit ribosomal RNA
Source: RNAcentral
AGGGCGCACGGUGGAUGCCUUGGCACCAGGAACCGAUGAAGGACGUGGGAGGCCACGAUAGUCCCCGGGGAGUCGUCAACCAGGCUUUGAUCCGGGGGUUUCCGAAUGGGGAAACCCGGCAGUCGUCAUGGGCUGUCACCCGCUGCUGAACACAUAGGCAGUGUGGAGGGAACGCGGGGAAGUGAAACAUCUCAGUACCCACAGGAAGAGAAAACAAAAGUGAUUCCGUGAGUAGUGGCGAGCGAAAGCGGAUGGGGCUAAACCGUAUGUGUGUGAUACCCGGCAGGGGUUGCAGGCUUGGGGUUGUGGGACGUGUCUGAUGGGUCUGCCGGCUUGUCGACGUGUACGUGUAGUGGUAGUCGAAGUCGUGGUGAGUGCGACGGCGUAGAGGGUGUGACCCCCGUAGACGAAACUGCUGCAUGGCGUGACGCUGUUCCCGAGUAGCACCGGGCCUGUGAAAUCCGGUGUGAAUCUGCCAGGACCACCUGGUAAGCCUGAAUACUACCUGUUGACCGAUAGUGAAUCAGUACCGUGAGGGAAUGGUGAAAAGUACCCCGGGAGGGGAGUGAAAUAGUACCUGAAACCGUGCGCUUACAAUCCGUCGGAGCCUUACGGGGUGACGGCGUGCCUUUUGAAGAAUGAGCCUGCGAGUUAGUGAUACGUGGCGAGGUUAACCCGUGUGGGGAAGCCGUAGCGAAAGCGAGUCUGAAUAGGGCGAUUCAGUCGCGUGUCCUAGACCCGAAGCGGAGUGAUCUACCCAUGGCCAGGUUGAAGCGCGUGUAAGAGCGCGUGGAGGACCGAACCCACUUCAGUUGAAAAUGGAGGGGAUGAGCUGUGGGUAGGGGUGAAAGGCCAAUCAAACUCGGAAAUAGCUGGUUCUCCGCGAAAUCUAUUUAGGUAGAGCCUCGAGUGAAUACCCCAGGGGGUAGAGCACUGGAUGGGCUAUGGGGACUCACCGUCUUACUGAUCCUAACCAAACUCCGAAUACCUGGAUGUCUUAUCCGGCAGACACACUGUGGGUGCUAACGUUCAUAGUGGAAAGGGAAACAACCCUGACCGCCAGCUAAGGUCCCCAAGUCAUGGCUAAGUGGGAAAGGAUGUGAGGAUCCCAAAACAACCAGGAUGUUGGCUUAGAAGCAGCCACCAUUUAAAAAGUGCGUAAUAGCUUACUGGUCUAGUGAGCCCGCGCCGAAAAUGUAACGGGGCUAAAGCACUGUACCGAAGCUGCGGAUUGGAGAAAAGACUGCGGUCUUUUCCCAGUGGUAGGCGAGCAUUCUCUGUGCUGCGAAGGUGGACGGGAACGACCACUGGAGCGGAGGGAAGAGCUUAUGCAGGCUUGAGUAGCGAUAAAACAGGUGAGAAACCUGUUCGCCGUAAGCCCAAGGGUUCCUGGGUCAAGUUAAUCUUCCCAGGGUUAGUCGGUCCCUAAGCCGAGGCCGAAAGGCGUAGGUGAUGGAAAGCAGGUUAAUAUUCCUGCACCACCAAGGAUGGCGUUGAAGCAAGCGGGGACGGAGAAGGGUAGCCGAGCACGGCGUUGGUCGUCCGUGUUCAAGCCCGUAGGCUGAGCUGUUAGGACCCGAUAGGGACAAACGACGGUUCGCUAGGCCGAGAGGUGAUGAGGUCCGCUCUUACGAGCGGGACACUGAGUAAUCCCAUGCUUCCGAGAAAAGCCGCGUGCAGAGCCUCUUUGGUGAUCGUACUGCAAACCGACUCAGGUGGGCGGGAAGAAUAUUCCAAGGCGCGUGAGAGAACCCCGGUUAAGGAACUCGGCAAAUUGACACCGUAACUUCGGGAGAAGGUGUGCCCUCGUUACGUGAACCGCGCACGCGGGGAGCGGAAGGGGGUUGCAGAGAAUCGGGGGUAGCGACUGUUUACCAAAAACCCAGCACUGUGCGAACUCGGAAGAGGACGUAUACGGUGUGAUGCCUGCCCGGUGCCGGAAGGUUAAAAGGAGGGGUUAGCGCAAGCGAAGCUCCGUAGCCAAGUCCCCGUGAAUGUCGGCCGUAACUAUAACGGUCCUAAGGUAGCGAAAUUCCUUGUCGGGUAAGUUCCGACCUGCACGAAUGGAGUAACGACUUCCCCGCUGUCUCAACCAUGAACUCGGCGAAAUUGCAUUACGAGUAAAGAUGCUCGUUACGCGCAGAAGGACGGAAAGACCCCGAGACCUUUACUAUAGUUUGGUAUUGGUGUUCGGUGUGGCUUGUGUAGGAUAGGUGGGAGACUGUGAAGCCGGCACGCCAGUGCUGGUGGAGUCAUCGUUGAAAUACCACUCUGGUCACUCUGGACAUCUAACUUCGGCCCGUGAUCCGGGUCAGGGACAGUGCCUGAUGGGUAGUUUAACUGGGGCGGUUGCCUCCCAAAAUGUAACGGAGGCGCCCAAAGGUCCCCUCAGCCUGGUUGGCAAUCAGGUGUCGAGUGCAAGUGCACAAGGGGGCUUGACUGUGAGAGAGACAUCUCGAGCAGGGACGAAAGUCGGGACUAGUGAUCCGGCACUGGCUUGUGGAAGCGGUGUCGCUCAACGGAUAAAAGGUACCUCGGGGAUAACAGGCUGAUCUUGCCCAAGAGUCCAUAUCGACGGCAUGGUUUGGCACCUCGAUGUCGGCUCGUCGCAUCCUGGGGCUGGAGUAGGUCCCAAGGGUUGGGCUGUUCGCCCAUUAAAGCGGUACGCGAGCUGGGUUCAGAACGUCGUGAGACAGUUCGGUCCCUAUCCGCUGCGCGCGUUGGAAAUUUGAGAAGGUCUGUCCUUAGUACGAGAGGACCGGGACGGACGAACCUCUGGUAUGUCAGUUGUACCGCCAGGUGCAUGGCUGAUUAGCUACGUUCGGGAUGGAUAACCGCUGAAAGCAUCUAAGCGGGAAGCCCACCUUAAGAUUAGAUUUCCCUAAAGAGCCGUUGU